Spinacia oleracea (spinach) is the source of this 607-nucleotide long non-coding RNA. RefSeq lists it as uncharacterized. The record is from RefSeq and is a predicted model, not a curated record. The transcript is spliced from 3 exons. NCBI's taxonomy places the organism in Eukaryota, Viridiplantae, Streptophyta, Magnoliopsida, Caryophyllales, Amaranthaceae.
ACUUUGGAGUUCCCCGCGCUCAACUCUUCCCUCAGUUUUCAAUUCCCUCCGUCGUCGUCGAACUCAGAGCUUGCCCGGUCCUGCGCCGCCGUCGAACUCAGCUUGCUCGGAUCCGCCGUCACUCUCCUCGCCGGUGAGUGUCUUUCCUCGCUUCCUCGCCACCCGUCGCGUCCUGUACGUUCUCCGCGCUGAACCAUGACUGACAUAGUCGCUGAAAACUCAGCUAGCUCGGCCGGUGGUUCCAAGAAAGAACGGUCUGUUCUUCGGUGCUUGCUCGGCCGUCAAUCUAAUCGCCACAACAACUGCCUGCAGGAAUCUAUCAUCGUGCUUGUCUGGAUUUCAACAACUGCAUUAAGGCUUCUAUUUUGUUGUUGACACCAGCAUUUGCAAGGCUUAUUUUGCGACUUAAUCUUCAGCCUCCUGAAUUUGUUACUGGUACUUAUUAUUUUGAGUUGGUCUUAUGAAGUAUUACAUUUACAUUUACUCUCUUUCGCCUAGUUACAAUCAGAUCUGUCUGUUCUUUUAGACUUUGAGUUAGCGCUCCCUAGUCAAAUCCUAUUCUGCUAUGGUUCCAGCUAGCCUCUUGCUUGUAGGGGAUAAGAAAAGG